Molecule: non-coding RNA, 820 nt
Filed under: Phascolosoma similis
Lineage: Eukaryota; Metazoa; Annelida; Sipuncula; Phascolosomatiformes; Phascolosomatidae
Source: RNAcentral
AAAAAGUUUGAAUCUAGCUUUAUAAUUAACUCUUUACUAGGUAUACGUGCAUGUAAAAUCUUAUAUCCCCAGAAAUAAAAAUACGUAAAGUAUAAAUACUUACGUAUUUCUCUGCCAACAGCAACAAAUAUUGCGUCGCUAUAAAACCUAUAGGCCCAACUAUAGUAAAAGAGAGUAGGGCACGCUUGAUGCCAGCAGCCGCGGUUAGAUCUACUUACUCAAGUUAAUUUUUCCGGCACAGUGAAGUAACUUUUCAAAAAAUGGUAAAAAACUAGUUUUCCUAGAAAUAAAAUUCAAAUUAAUAUCUAUUAUUCCUUUUUUCCAAAUCACACCUUCACGAAAGUCUACAUAAAAACAAGGAUUAGAGACCCUUUUAUUGUUGACCUUAAAUCACUUCAGCUCUAGGGCAAUAUUGUCACAUGGCAUAAACCCAAAGAUCUUGGCGGUACCUUAUACUACUCAGGGGAGCCUGUUAUUGAAACUGAUGAUCCGCAGUACUCCUUACCUACUCUUGAUUCCAGCUUAUACAUCGCCGUCGAAAAUCUACCUAAAAAAGAAUCAAAGUAUCAGGUCUUGUGAAACAUUUGUCUCCUUACGUCAGGUCGACAUGUAGCUCAUGAGUAGGAAUAAUGGGCUACAAUUCUCCAACGCACUUGUAUUCCUCCUAAGAAGGGAAUUAAAUUGGACUUGAAAGUAAAUUAAAUUCCUACAUUUAAUUGAAUUUGCCCCCUAAGGUGUGUACAAAUCGCCCGUCGCCCCCGCUGAAAAGUGGGGUAAGUCGUAACAUAGUAGGCGUAGCGGAAGCUGUGCCUAAAACAUU